AUUGAACGCUGGCGGCAUGCCUUACACAUGCAAGUCGAACGCGAAAGCGGGGGCAACCCCGCAAGUAGAGUGGCGAACGGGUGAGUAAUGCAUCGGAACGUGUCCAGUAGCGGGGGAUAACCUCUCGAAAGAGAGGCUAAUACCGCAUACGACCUACGGGUGAAAGAGGGGGAUCGCAAGACCUCUCACUAUUGGAGCGGCCGAUGUCGGAUUAGCUAGUUGGUGGGGUAAAGGCUUACCAAGGCGACGAUCCGUAGCUGGUCUGAGAGGACGACCAGCCACACUGGGACUGAGACACGGUCCAGACUCCUACGGGAGGCAGCAGUGGGGAAUUUUGGACAAUGGGGGAAACCCUGAUCCAGCCAUGCCGCGUGGGUGAAGAAGGCCUUCGGGUUGUAAAGCCCUUUCGGUGGGGAAGAAACGGUGCGUGCCAACACCACGCACUACUGACGGUACCCACAGAAGAAGCACCGGCUAACUACGUGCCAGCAGCCGCGGUA
This 500-nucleotide ribosomal RNA is filed under the name uncultured bacterium. RNAcentral describes it as "bacterial SSU rRNA". It matches the Rfam family "Bacterial small subunit ribosomal RNA", at positions 29 to 522 of the family's 1533-position model. The record is from RNAcentral.